UCCUCGGUGGCGCAAUUGGCUAGCGCGUCGUAAGUUGCACCUUUCAAAUAAAACUCACGAUGCAAUGGUGUCUAACAGAAGAACAGUGACUGUUAAUCAGGAGGUUGAAAGUUCGAGCCUUUCCCGGGGAG
Molecule: non-coding RNA, 131 nt
Organism: Astrocystis sublimbata
Lineage: Eukaryota; Fungi; Ascomycota; Sordariomycetes; Xylariales; Xylariaceae
Source: the annotation of a GenBank genome assembly